GUGGGGAAUUUUGGACAAUGGGGGCAACCCUGAUCCAGCCAUGCCGCGUGAGUGAAGAAGGCCUUCGGGUUGUAAAGCUCUUUCGGACAGAAAGAAAAGGUUACUGAUAAUACCAGUAACUGAUGACGGUACUGUAAGAAGAAGCACCGGCUAACUACGUGCCAGCAGCCGCGGUAAUACGUAGGGUGCGAGCGUUAAUCGGAAUUACUGGGCGUAAAGCGUGCGCAGGCGGUUUCGUAAGACAGAUGUGAAAUCCCCGGGCUUAACCUGGGAACUGCAUUUGUGACUGCGAGACUAGAGUGUAGCAGAGGGGGGUAGAAUUCCACGUGUAGCAGUGAAAUGCGUAGAGAUGUGGAGGAAUACCGAUGGCGAAGGCAGCCCCCUGGGCUAACACUGACGCUCAUGCACGAAAGCGUGGGGAGCAAACAGGAUUAGAAACCCGUGUAGUCC
Molecule: ribosomal RNA, 450 nt
Filed under: uncultured bacterium
Lineage: Bacteria
Description: bacterial SSU rRNA
Rfam family: Bacterial small subunit ribosomal RNA
Source: RNAcentral